CCAUUGGUGGUUCAGUGGUAUAAUUCCUGCCUUCCGUGCUGGAGACCCGGGGUUCAAUUCUUGGCCAGUGUA
Molecule: transfer RNA, 72 nt
Filed under: Loxodonta africana (African savanna elephant)
Lineage: Eukaryota; Metazoa; Chordata; Mammalia; Proboscidea; Elephantidae
Rfam family: tRNA
About the family: Transfer RNA (tRNA) molecules are approximately 80 nucleotides in length. Their secondary structure includes four short double-helical elements and three loops (D, anti-codon, and T loops).
Source: Rfam by way of RNAcentral